GCUGGACAAGCUGGAUGAACUAGCUAGCUAAGCUAGGUGAGCUAAACCAGCUGUAAGACUAGCUAGCUCAGCUAGGUGAGCUGACCGACAGCUCGAUUGAGCUCGGUGAGCUAAUCAAGUACUGACCCAGCUGGGUGGUACGGUCAGCUGACACUCGAGCUGGUGGACUGUGGUAGCUCACGGGUGAAGAGGUGUCUCGGCCAAAAGGUGUAAGGUCGAGCGGGUACCAACGAACGGUUGCAUCGCCCAAAGGAUGCAAGGAACAGAUGUGACCUUUCGAAAGGAUGCAAAGAACGGAUGUGACAUUUCGGAAGGGUGCAAGGACCGGAUGUGAUGCUUCGGGAAGCAUCCAUUCGCCUCCUAUAUAAGGGAGGACGCCCAAGGCAUCUCACAUCAUCUCACAACAUCCAAAACACCAUAAAACAUUCUAAAAGGAGUCCCAACACAUCCUAGAGUUGUUGGUCGGAAAGGGGGUGCGGCUCGGCGAGUAUAACUCGACCGAACUGAUGCGCAUGCUACCUCCCGGUCCAAGGGUUCGAUGGAGUGUAGAGGAUGGAGAGGGUAGACCGUUCGUCUUAGAGACGAAUCGGAUCUGGUAGACCGAUCGUUGGAUCGGAUCGGCCAGACCGAUCGUCAGACGGAUCGGAUCGGCCAGACGGAUCGGACAGACCGAUCGUCGGACGGGUCAGAUGGGACAGGCCGAUCGUCUGACGGAACGGGUCGGACAGACCAAUCGUCGGAUGAGAUGGAUCGAGAAAAGUGUUCGAGGAAGCACAAGGAUAAGUGCAUCCGAACACACCCAAGGGUCGCCCAUGGAUGCAAUCUUACCG
RNAcentral lists this small RNA (830 nucleotides) under Arabidopsis thaliana (thale cress). RNAcentral describes it as "ATSL077250". The record is from RNAcentral. Lineage: Eukaryota; Viridiplantae; Streptophyta; Magnoliopsida; Brassicales; Brassicaceae.